ACGCAACGGUGCGCUCGGUUCGGCGAUCCGACGAGUGUACGCGGAGAUAUUGAGGAUCGAAGCCGUUAAGGUACAGAUUGCCGCAGCUCACGGCGAAAGCUUCCAAAAAUCAUGAAAAUGGAAUUGUAGCAUCGUGGUGUCGGGGAAUAAACUCCAGAACAGACGGAUCGCGGAUAGGAGGUCAUUUGGCAGUCGCGCGUGAGUUGGGUCGAGCCGUGCGGCGUGCGCCGCAGGAGGCCGAUUGCGAGUGACGACGAGCAAUCGGAACGCUAUAAAAGGUGGGUGGUGUCCAUCCCAAAGCAAUCGGGCUCCCUUUUAUGUCUAAGUUUAUAUUGAUCAAAUUGCAUAUUGACAUCUUGCAUUAUAGGGUGAUAAAUGAUGGUUUGGUCCUAUACCUUGCAUGUUCUUUGGUAGAAUAAUGUAUUUGGCUUAGUACUUAUAUCUAGCAUGCUUGAGGUUUAUAUAUGUGAUGUGGAACCCUAUAAUGAGAUGAUAAGUGUGGAUGGGAAUUUAGUNGAUGAUCGUGGUAAGGGCGUAGCGCCCUAGCUAGCUAGUAGAGCUUUCCUAUUGUACUAGAGCACCCUCGUGUGCAUGGUUAUAGAUGACAUGAUGUAUUUUGGAUAGCUAGCAUUAUAUAUGUAAGGUAUCGGACUUCUAAAAUCAUGAAGUUACGGUGUACAUUUGGUUGGAAGACUAUUUGAAAGGUUCUGGUGAAGUUCGGUGAAGUUCGGGAGCAUUCGGGCGUUUCGGUGCGCGUAGGCGCUAAAACGGAACCCGGGAGGCUAAGUGGGCCGUGAGUUAAAUCCGGCAUUAGCGAGGAUGGAAAGAUGAUGAAAACAUGUUUGGAAACAUGUUUGGAGAGUCUCGGUUCGAUUUGAGACGAAUCGGAGGUCAAACGAGCAAAAACGGACGAAAACGGGCGAAAAUGCUGAAAAUUUGGCUGUCCUUGAGGCUGAGUUCUAGACCUUCGGGGACCGGUCUCUUAGCCAAGGACCGGUCUCUCAGGGACCGGUCUCUCACCGCAAGGACCGGUCCCCGAGCGCGAAAAUGGCCCCCGCGGGGGCAAUGUAAUAAAGUGAAAGUUGAGGGGUUUUUAUGCAUUUGUAGCAUUAUGAGAGUGUAUAGAAGUGGGUUUUAGCCCAUUUCUCUCUCUCCCUCAACCGUAUGAACCCAACACCCCUCCCUCUCUCCCUCUCUAACGUGAAGAAGAAGAAGAAGAAAGAGGAGAAGGAAAAGGAGAAGAAGAAAAGGGAGGAGAAGGAGAGAAGCAUCAUCAUCACCACCAUCAUCUUCUUCUUCCUCUCAACCUUGGAGCUAACACCUAGAGGUAAGCUUGAUGCUUAUUAAUGGUAGAUCUCUAGGGCUUGAGCCUUUUGCUCUAGAAUUGGAUUUAGAUGAAUCCUAGCAAGCUUAAUAGAUGUUUAUUGCAUGAAUUGGAGAUCAAUUUGGUGGAUUUUGCCGUAGUACAAAUCUAGGGCUCCAAAAUGGCGAUUUGAUUUACAGGAGGGUUUGAUCUCUUUUAACACUCUGUAAACCUAAUUGGUAGGUCUACGAACGCAACGGUGCGCUCGGUUCGGCGAUCCGACGAGUGUACGCGGAGAUAUUGAGGAUCGAAGCCGUUAAGGUACAGAUUGCCGCAGCUCGCGGCGAAAGCUUCCAAAAAUCAUGGAAAUGGAAUCGUAGCAUCGUGGUGUCGGGGAAUAAACUCCAGAACAGACGGAUCGCGGAUAGGAGGUCAUUUGGCAGUCGCGCGUGAGUUGGGUCGAGCCGUGCGGCGUGCGCCGCAGGAGGCCGAUUGCGAGUGACGACGAGCAAUCGGAACGCUAUAAAAGGUGGGUGGUGUCCAUCCCGAAGCAAUCGGGCUCCCUUUUAUGUCUAAGUUUAUAUUGAUCAAAUUGCAUAUUGACAUCUUGCAUUAUAGGGUGAUAAAUGAUGGUUUGGUCCUAUACCUUGCAUGUUCUUUGGUAGAAUAAUGUAUUUGGCUUAGUACUUAUAUCUAGCAUGCUUGAGGUUUAUAUAUGUGAUGUGGAACCCUAUAAUGAGAUGAUAAGUGUGGAUGGGAAUUUAGUAAUGUAUUGGCUAUUGCAUUGGAAACUUGUAAAGAACGAGUGGCAUCUAGUUGAUAGUAAACAAAAGAACGAGUGACAUAUGUGAGUCGUAGUGUAUAUGAAACCUAUGGACUAUAUGAUGAUUGUGACCCUAGAGGACAGGGUAUCCUCGAGCUUAGAGGAUUGGAUCAUGCUCACGGUCUGUUUUAAAUCUUGUGAUGGAAGCCCCACACAAGUAGUGCGCUCCGGAUGUUGGUCACGCAAGGGAUUGCCUAUUUGGCCCCGCCAGACGGUCUCGGGUCCGUAGUGUGAGUUAAUUCUCCCUACGUGUCGAGAUGGCUAGUGAGCUGUAGGCGAGCCUUCGGGUAAGCCAUGAGAUUAAUGAACAAGUAAAUGAGGUUAAUGAACGAGUGAAUAGCUUCACCUUUGGACAUGAUAACAGGUUAGUUGCUUACCUACUUCAUUGUACAUGCAUUCAUAUAUUAUGAUUGGGCAUAGUAGAGUAGCUUUACUUCUGUCAUUUACCGCUUUCCUUAUCUAUCUAUCUAUCGAUUAUCUACUUGUGCCCAACUUGGACCUAGUGGGGAGAUCGGCGGAGUCGGCGGCCGAACCCACUGGGAACUAAGGAAGUUAGUUCUCACCCCCAUUUUACUACAGGGCCGAGCGCGAGUUCACACGGCGAGGAUCGCGGAUACAUUGGCCCCUAUGAGAUCUUGGAGCGGAUUGGGACGGUGACUUAUCGACUCGCGUUGCCGCCGAAGCUUGCGGAUGUGCACAAUGUAUUCCACGUCUCCAAUCUUCGCAAGUACAUACCUGAUCCCGAGCACGCAAUGUUGUAUGAACCGCCAGAGCUUCAG
This 2905-nucleotide long non-coding RNA is filed under the name Ananas comosus (pineapple). RNAcentral's name for it is "long non-coding RNA (ACOM_LNC038599)". The record is from RNAcentral. Lineage: Eukaryota; Viridiplantae; Streptophyta; Magnoliopsida; Poales; Bromeliaceae.